GACGAACGCUGGCGGCGUGCUUAACACAUGCAAGUCGAACGGUGAAGCUCCAGCUUGCUGGAGUGGAUCAGUGGCGAACGGGUGAGUAACACGUGAGCAACCUGCCCCAGACUCUGGAAUAAGCGCUGGAAACGGCGUCUAAUACUGGAUACGAGAUCAAGCCGCAUGGUUCGGGUCUGGAAAGUUUUUCGGUUUGGGAUGGGGUCGCCGCCUCUCAGCUUGUUGGUGUGGUAAUGGCUCACCAAGGCGACGACGGGUAGCCGGCCUGAGAGGGCGACCGGCGACACUGGGACUGAGACACGGCCCAGACUCCUACGGGAGGCAGCAGUGGGGAAUAUUGCACAAUGGGCGAAAGCCUGAUGCAGCGACGCCGCGUGAGGGAUGACGGCCUUCGGGUUGUAAACCUCUUUCGGCAGGGAAGAAGCGAAAGUGACGGUACCUGCAGAAGAAGCACCGGCUAACUACGUG
Molecule: ribosomal RNA, 468 nt
Filed under: uncultured bacterium
Lineage: Bacteria
Description: partial 16S ribosomal RNA
Rfam family: Bacterial small subunit ribosomal RNA
Source: RNAcentral